GAUGAACGCUGGCGGCGUGCCUAAUACAUGCAAGUCGAGCGAACAGACGAGGAGCUUGCUCCUCUGACGUUAGCGGCGGACGGGUGAGUAACACGUGGAUAACCUACCUAUAAGACUGGGAUAACUUCGGGAAAUCGGAGCUAAUACCGGAUAAUAUGUUGAAUCGCAUGGUUCAACAGUGAAAGACGGUCUUGCUGUCACUUAUAGAUGGAUCCGCGCCGCAUUAGCUAGUUGGUAAGGUAACGGCUUACCAAGGCAACGAUGCGUAGCCGACCUGAGAGGGUGAUCGGCCACACUGGAACUGAGACACGGUCCAGACUCCUACGGGAGGCAGCAGUAGGGAAUCUUCCGCAAUGGGCGAAAGCCUGACGGAGCAACGCCGCGUGAGUGAAGAAGGUCUUCGGAUCGUAAAACUCUGUUAUUAGGGAAGAACAAAUGUGUAAGUAACUAUGCACGUCUUGACGGUACCUAAUCAGAAAGCCACGGCUAACUACGUG
RNAcentral lists this ribosomal RNA (497 nucleotides) under uncultured bacterium. Its description in RNAcentral is "partial 16S ribosomal RNA". It matches the Rfam family "Bacterial small subunit ribosomal RNA", at positions 28 to 507 of the family's 1533-position model. The record is from RNAcentral.